CCCGAGCACGGUUGCCUGAGGUCCGAUGGCCCGAGAGCUGGGACUCAGUUCUUGGCCUGCUAGCGGCUGAACAGGCCGCACGUCUCACUUCAGUUGUGGCCUCAUUCAGCAGAAUGACUCUGGAACCAUCCUCUGUUACCCGCAGAUCCUGUCCCAUGGGCUCUGGCCCCAAGAUGUUGGGGGGCCCCACGGAGAGUUGACUUGGUAGAGUUCCUUUCUGGGAAGAAAGUAGGAGUGGCUGACCAGGCCCUGCUCAUCACCCGGAUAGAGGACACGGACCCUGUGUGGUAUUUUGGCAUUUUGGCUCAGAGUCCAAUGUACCAUGUUGCCCAGAAUUUCAUACUUACGGCCUUUACAUGAAUACGUUUUGAUCAGACAUUCAGAGAUUAGUCUUAGGUUUGCACGUAAGUCACUGAAAACAGUAAAACAGGCUGCUUAGAUUUCUAGCAGUAUGUGUGCUCUUAUCCCCAGCUGUUAGCAUGUUAGUAAUACUUUUGGGGAGGAGUUGUCUGUCCUGGUCAGUUUUCACAGAGGCGGUUGUAAGAGGAUGUGGUUAUUUUCUCCAUGUCUGUAGUUGCUUUGCGGCAUCUCCAUUUCACGGGCAACACUCACUGCCUGCAGCUGAGAUUCCAGAACGCCCUGUGUCCACAGUGAUUAGCCUCGUCUUUCAGCGAGCAUAAAAUAAGUGCAUUGUCCUUUUCUUUUCUUGAGGCAGGGUCUCACUCUGUUGACCAGGCUGGAGUGAAGUGGUGUGAUCCUAUCUCACUGCAGCCUCGACCUCCCUGGCUUGAGUGAUCCUCCCGCCCCAGCCUCCUGAGUAGCUGGGACUAGAGGCGCGCACCAUCACGCCUACCUUUUUAUUUUUUUUGUAGAGACAGGGUCUCACUGUGUUGCCCAGGCUGGUCUUGAACUCUUGGCCUCAAGCGAUCCUCCUUCCUCAUCCUUCUAAAGUGCUGGGAUUACAGGUGUGAGCCACAGCACUCGGCCUAAAUAGGUUUUUCUUGCUAUGUUAUUUUCAGUGCUUUGCCCUUGAAUUCUUUUCCUCUCUUAAAUUCAUAUCAUUUGGCCGAGUCAGCACGUAGUUUGCAUUCCAGCGUCUGCUGUUGAUUCCACUGAAACCUCUGUUCUCAUGAGGGAGAGGAUUUGGCUCGCUGUGGUUUCUCGUACUUUCACAUCUCUGUAGAUACAGGGGCAAAAGUCAUUGCUGACAGAGCCCUAUCUAUGUCCUGGAAGUGUGUGUUUCUUGCUUUGAAUGCAUGUGUGAAGAUUAUAAAAGCCAAAUAGUUUUUAAAGAUCUCGGUGCUGAACGACAGUCCCAGUUCCUAUUUGUGUCCCAUUGUCUUUGUGGUGUCACCCGCACUGUUUGCUUCAUUGUCUGGGGAACAACUGCACAUCCGUGUACUUUGUGCCAUUUCUGGGCUCACGCGUCACUCCUAGCAGAGCCUCUUAACUGAGACUGCUGGAUUGCAGCUGCUUGAGGCAACACAGGAGGUUAGAACAUGUCCCGAGGGCUCUGAAACAGCAGGACAUCCUGGGUGGGUGGAGCUGGGGAGGGCAUGGGCAGGCCAGCUGGCCGAGCUCCUGGCUGGCUCUCCUGAGUCCUCUGGACAUGGCUUGUCCCUGUCAGACUGUAGCUCUUCAGGACCUGAGCUCUUCCCGUUCUUGACCUGCUCUUGUGCUGACUGUGCUGGGCUGAUGGGUAGGCGCUUAUCCCCAGUGAGUGGCUGUGUCCUCAGGGUGCCCCUCUUCCAGACCAACUGCAGCAAGGCCUGGAGCCUGACUCUAGGUGCAGCCCAUGUGGCUGGAAUCCCUUGUGCCACCCAGGGGACUCGGGCCCUGCUCCUCCUGCAGCCCCUCCUCACCUGGGCUCGCUGCUGGAGUGAGGUUUUUAGGGAGCCCAGAGCGUACUCAUCUCUGAGCUGCUGGGCCCAGCUGCCUGGCGCAUACCUCUUGCCUCCGUCCUGUCCCCCAGAACGCUUUAUGGAGACUGCCGUGUCCUCCGAGCACUUUGUUUUCACUUCCUGACCAGUCUCAGAAGCUCAAGUGGUUGAAUGUUUUAGCCUCAGAAUCUUUUUCCCCAAGCCCUCUCAGGUGGAGCCCCGCUGUACCAGACACCACAGCACAGCUCUGUGAGGCUGUGUCUCUUCACUCUGUUUCUGGGGCUGCUGAGGCCCCUGGGAAGCCCUGGAGCUUGCCAGAGCAGAGCGAGAAAGUCUCUGGUCCUGUUUAAAUGCCUCCGCGUUUUAUCUGUGAGCACCAGGCUGGAACCACUCCCUGUCUUCUCACAGUGCCCCUGCAAGUUGCAGCCUCAGUUCUCCAGUGGCUAGUGGGGCAGCAGGUGCUGCAUCAUAUGGUUUGGGACCUCUGUGGCUGCUUCCAGCCUGCUAAUAGAACCUCUUUCCACCACUGCCUUCAUCUUUGGGGUGGCACCCCUGAGUGCUCAGGCCUGAGGGCGCUCCUUUGUCCUCACUCGGGACAGGCAGCCUCCACUCUGGGAGCUCCCAUCCCUCGGGAUGCCCAGGAGAGGCCAUACUUUCAGGGUGGCAUGGUGAAUUCAGGGGUUAGGAUGGGUAGGUGGUCUUUCAGCCCCUUGUAUGUUGGGGUUGGUUUACAGAACACCUGUCCUGCCUGUGCCAGCCUGGCCUUCUGCGGGCACCCCAGGCACGCUGUCCUGGAAGUUGUCUGUCUCCUGCAUAGGAGGGUCUAGAGCAGACCUUGCCCUGGGCCUGUCUGUGCGUGACUUCCAUACACUUCAUUCGUGCUCAGCCAUGGCUGAGCAUGCGAUGGAGAGCACUUGGGCCGCCCCUGACGUCGCAGGCCACUGUUCUUAUCCAGUGGGCCAAGUGAUUGAUUGCUAGUGGUGGGUUGAUUGGAAGAAAGGAAGUCGCAGCCCCUGCCCACGGCUUCCCCAGCUCGCUGGGGUUGGAGGACUGUCAUCAGUUGUCCCCAGUUAAAGUCCAUUUGGAGGAGGUUCAGGGUCCCAGUGGCUGGAUGUGCUUCUGGAGGGACACGGUUUGAGGCAGGGGUUUGCAGAAGGUGUAGACUGCAUCCAUUCUUGGGAGGCUGUGGCACAAGGCAGCGACAACUUGGGACAAAUCAAGACCCGUCCACACUGCACCUCAGGGACCUCACCUCACGCCCCACAUAAAUGUGCUUAUUGGGGGGCCGGGUGUGGUGGCUCCCACCUGAAAUCCCAGUACUCUGGAAGGCCACGGCAGGAGGAUCACUUUAGUUCAGGAGUUUGAAACCAGCCUGGGCAACAUAGGGAGACCCCAUCUCUACAGAAAGUAAAAGAAAAUGAGCCAGGUGUGGUGGCAUGUGCCUGUAACCCCAGCUACCCAGGAGGCCGAGGUGGGAGGAUCCCCAAGCCCAGGAGUUUGAGGCUGCAGUGAGUUAUGGCCUCUGCACUCCAGCCUGGGUGACAGAGUGAGAGACCUAAUCUCUAAAAAAAAAAAAAAUAACAAAAUGUGCUUUGGGAUCAGGUGUGGAGAUCAGGGUCGGGGAGGUCAUGAGGUAGGUAGGGGUCAGGAUGUGGACAGUCAUGGGCUGGUGGGUGUGGCAGCUGUGAGGGGUGGGUGGUGGCCUGGGAGGCAGGGCCUGGGCAGGGCUUCUGCACUUCUGCUGCUUACCCAGCCCCCUCUGGGUUCGAGGACUCUCCUUGACAAGGGGUGAGCUCUCGGGCACUGCGUUGGACUCAGCUGCCUACUGGGAGGCUGGGGAGAAUGGACCUGUGAGACCUUGUUUGUCCUCUUCCCUGCCCAGCUCCUGUAGACCCCAGGCCUGGCUGUCCGCAGGGCCAGGAGCUGCAGCCAUGGCAGCCACCAGCCUCCCACAUGAGCCCCAGCUCCCAGCCCCACACGCCCACUCCUUUGCCCAUGUGGUGUCAGCUCUGGCCUCCGCUUCCACACAUGGACCCUCAGACCUUGCACAUCUGUUGUUUCCCUUGCAGGGCAGUGAUGAUGACAUGAAAUGAGGUGGGGUCACUCCUGUUUAGGGAUGAGACCAGGGCCCAGGGAGGGGCAGGUGUGAAGUUACUGAGGGCAGAGGGAGACCCAGGGCUACCUGCUCCUAAUGACCAGCCUCACGUUCUCCACUGCUCACUCCCUGCCAUUCACCAGCUGCAUGACCUUGAGCAGUGCACUCAACUGUAAACAGAGGUGAAAACACUCCUUUACCAACUGUUUUAGGGGCCACUCUUGUUUGAGGCCUUGAACCUCCUUUCAGUUCCAUGGUGGUCCUGAGCCUCUGAAUCUGGGUAUGGCCCCUGCUGGGUCCUGGUCUCUUAGGCAGCGUGAUGGCCUCCCUGCUCAAGGCCCUGCACCCAGGGGCAGAUUGUGGGAGGCCCACUGGCCAUGGCUGGGCCCUAUCGCAGAGAGCCUGUCAGCACGGCCAUUUCCACACCCAGGCUGGCUGGGAAGCGAGCUACGAGGUGCUCAAAGGCCCUCUAUGUCCACAGGUAGCCCCGUCCCACACAGGCGAGGAUCGUUGGGCCUCCUUAGUAGCCAAAGGAACUGAGGUUCAGAGCAGGGAAUGUGUUGCCCAGUGUCAGCAUGGUCUGCUCUGGGGUCAGGCGUCUUGCCCUGGUCUUAAGCCACCCCAAGCCAAGGCAUGUCCCUGGGCCCAUUUCCUCUCUUGAGGUCUUGGGUUCCCUAUUUCUGAUGUGUGUGAAAGGAGGGCCUGUCCUCUGGGGUGACCAUGAGGCUCAGUGGGAGGAGCUGCCAGGCUUGAGCUGGGACUUGGCACCUGGCCAGCCUUUUUUCUAUUUCAUUGUACCUUGAUGGGCUGUCAGUUCUGAAGAGAAAAAAUACACUAGGAAUCCAUUCUUCCUCCACCAUUCUCCCUGGCAGAGGGAAGUGACUACACCCCUAUGGUGUGGACAUACUGACGCUCCUCCAUGAAGCAGCAAAGUUCUGUUGUUUCAGGAGACUGUGGGCCUUGAGGAUGUGGUAGUGACCUCACCAGAGGAGUUGGCAAUUCCUAAGUGCUGCCUGGAGGCCUCUACAGAGACAUAAUGUUGGAGAACUUCUGCCACAUGGCAGUGCUGGGUUCACCUGGUCCAGAAGGGGAGGCAGACCCACCUGCCCACCAUGACCCGGACAGAGGCGAUAAAUACGGAGCACCUCAUGGCCAGGGCCUGGAGGAUUCCCACCAUACCCUACCCAGCGCCAAUAACAGAGGGACCCUGGAGUUGUGUACACAAGAUAGCAGUUCAGUGCUUGCACACAUACUAGUUGAGAAGGGAAAUCAGGGCUAAUGAAACAGCUCAACUGUCUGGCAGAGCCAGGCUCCUUCUGCCAUGAUACAGUUUGGAUGUUUGUCCCUUUCUAAUCUUAUAUGGAAAUUUGAUCCCCAGUGUUGAAGGUGGGGCCUGGUGGGAGAUGUUCCUGUUAUCGGGAUGGAUCCUUCAUGAAUAGCCUGGUGCCAUCUUUGUGGUAACAAGUGAGUUCUCACUUGAUUAGUUUCUGUGAGAACUGUUUGUUAAAAAGAGCCUGGUGGCACCUCCCUCCCUUCUUCCUCCUUCUCUUGCUAUGUGAUGCUGCUGCCCUUUGCCUUCCGUCAUGAGUGGAAGCUCCCUGAAGCCCCCACCAGAAGCAAAUGCUGGCACCAUGCUGCUUGUACAGCCUGCAGAACUGUGAGCCAAAUAAACCUCUUUUCUUUAUAAAUUACUCAGCCUCAGGUGUUACUUUAUAACCAUGCAAACAGACCAAGACAUGCCAUGUGUAUUUCAUGAAGGGAGCCACAGGGUUGAAGAUGUUACAGGACACCUGCUCUAAUCCCCACCACUGUGUCUGCCUCCAGAAAGCACACCACUUCUGCUCCUGUCCCUCGAGCCAGG
This 5836-nucleotide long non-coding RNA is filed under the name Pan troglodytes (chimpanzee). RNAcentral's name for it is "long non-coding RNA NONPTRT017277". Lineage: Eukaryota; Metazoa; Chordata; Mammalia; Primates; Hominidae. The record is from RNAcentral.